RNAcentral lists this ribosomal RNA (499 nucleotides) under uncultured Glomeromycotina. RNAcentral's name for it is "partial small subunit ribosomal RNA". It matches the Rfam family "Eukaryotic small subunit ribosomal RNA", at positions 591 to 1092 of the family's 1831-position model. Lineage: Eukaryota; Fungi; Glomeromycota. The record is from RNAcentral.
CCAAUAGCGUAUAUUAAAGUUGUUGCAGUUAAAAAGCUCGUAGUUGAAUUUCGGGAUCAAAUUGUCGGUCGUGCCUCGGUACGCACUGGUCUUAUUGGUUCCUACCUUCUGAAGAACCGCGAUGUCAUUAAUUUGGUGUCGUGGGGAAUCAGGACUGUUACUUUGAAAAAAUUAGAGUGUUUAAAGCAGGCUUACGCUUGAAUACAUUAGCAUGGAAUAAUGAAAUAGGACGUUUGAUUCUAUUUUGUUGGUUUCUAGGAUUGACGUAAUGAUUAAUAGGGAUAGUUGGGGGCAUUAGUAUUCAAUUGUCAGAGGUGAAAUUCUUGGAUUUAUUGAAGACUAACUACUGCGAAAGCAUUUGCCAAGGAUGUUUUCAUUAAUCAAGAACGAAAGUUAGGGGAUCGAAGACGAUCAGAUACCGUCGUAGUCUUAACCAUAAACUAUGCCGACUAGGGAUCGGAUGAUGUUAAUUUUUUAAUGACUCAUUCGGCGCCUUACG